UACGUAGGAUGCAAGCGUUGUCCGGAUUUACUGGGCGUAAAGAGCGCGCAGGCGGUCGUUCAAGUCGCGUGUGAAAGCCCCCGGCUCAACUGGGGAGGGUCAUUCGAUACUGAUCAACUUGAAGGCAGGAGAGGGUAGUGGAAUUCCCGGUGUAGUGGUGAAAUGCGUAGAUAUCGGGAGGAACACCAGUGGCGAAGGCGACUACCUGGCCUGUUCUUGACGCUGAGGCGCGAAAGCUGGGGGAGCAAACGGG
This 253-nucleotide ribosomal RNA is filed under the name uncultured bacterium. Its description in RNAcentral is "partial 16S ribosomal RNA". It matches the Rfam family "Bacterial small subunit ribosomal RNA", at positions 524 to 776 of the family's 1533-position model. The record is from RNAcentral.